Callithrix jacchus (white-tufted-ear marmoset) is the source of this 3111-nucleotide non-coding RNA. The record is from RefSeq and is a predicted model, not a curated record. Lineage: Eukaryota; Metazoa; Chordata; Mammalia; Primates; Cebidae.
GCUGGAGGCUGAGGACGCCACCACCCCGUGGCCAAGGGCGUUGGGGCCCAACCCAGGAGCCGGGUGCUGCCCCACCCACGGGCCGCCUAGCCCUCGGAGGGCAGAGAACUGGCUGCCUUUGGGGUCACUUGGAACAGGCAUGAGCCAGCUCCCAGCCUGCAUUCUGGAUGAUUCCGUGUGGACUGCCACGUCAAGGAAGAGAACGAUAAAGUCCCGGCGCUGUGGGGAGCUUGCCUUUCGCUGCUAAGUGCCCCGGCUGACUUCCUACCACGCACCCCCGCCAUGAGCCUGUGAUCCUAGGAGGUGCUGCUGGCGAGCUCACCUCUCAGAUGAAGCAGUGAGGCCCAGAGUGGGUCCUGGACACCACCUGCCCCGCAGCUGGGCCCCUGACCCUCAAGAGACUGUGGCUGGGCAGCCAUGGGUUCCUGGACAGGCAUCCCCAGGCCCGUGUCCGCCGGGACGUGGAACCCUCUAGGCAUGCUGGGUUGGACAGGUGCCAGGUACCUCUCCUGCAAGGUGUGACCUAGGUGUCUUCACACAUACUCCAUAGGUCCAAGCCCCUGCAGCUGCCUGGGGGAGGAGGGGACACUCCACUUGACUCACUCCACUCUUACCACGGAGAUACCUCCAGCGCGGGGCAAGGCCUUUCUGGGCCUGGUUGUCUUUUCGGGAAACCCUUGCUCAUCAGCCUCUGUCAGGCACAGGACCUGUAGUCCCAUGAGAGGGGCCUGGGCCCCCGUGGGGGGGGUCCCUCCUCCUACCCCAGGGCAGGGGCUCUUGCUAAGCAACAUCUGAGGCUACAAAGGGUGGGGGCUCCGGAUCCCUCACCUUUACCCAGCCUCCAGGAAGGCAAGCCUAGACUUCGGUCACCAUUUUUUUGUUUUUUUUUGAGACACAGCCUCACUGUUGCCCAAGCUGUAGGCGGUGCUGUGGCUCAAUCUCGGCCUCACCACAAUCUCCACCUCCUGCGUUCAAUCGAUUCUCCUGCCUCAGCCUCUUGAGUAGCUGGAAUUAUGGGCACCAGCCACCACGCCCGGCUAAUUUUUGUAUUUUUAGUAGAGAUAGGGUUUCUCCAUGUUGGUCAGGCUGGUCUCAAACUCCCGACCUCAAGUGAUCCACCCACCUCAGCCUCCCAAAGUGCUGGGAUUACAGGCAUGAGCCACUGCGCCCGGCCUCAUCUUUGUACUUUUAGUAGAGACGGGGUUUCACCAUGUUGGUCGGGCUGGUCUUGAGCUUCUGAGCUUGUGAUCUGCCUGCCCUGGCCUCUCAAAGAUCUGGGAUUACAGGCAUGAGCCACCAUGCCCGGCCUCUUGGUCAGCUUCAGUGUGUUCGUGGAUCAUACAGGGACUUGGGCACGUCACAGACACCUGAUCUUCAACAUGCAUGGGUGCACAUCACUGCAGGUCCACCAUAUGUGCCAGCUGGUCUUUGCCCCAGCAGAAGGGUCACCUGCGUCUACAGUGUCUUUUGUCCUCUCUCCGUGUACCAAAAGAGCAAACAGGUGUGUGACUCCAAUACAGGUCUGGGUCGGUCCCAUCCUCAGCCUGUCUGCUGCUGGUGCCUGUGGCUGCCGGCAGCUGCCGUCUCCGGAUGCCAAGUGCAUGGUGUGUGACUGUGACUCUGUGUCCAGCAGGUAUGCAGCAGAGGUGUGAGUGCGCACCUCUGUGUGGCCUGUUGCCAGAUGUGUGUGCCGGGGAUGUCCCUCUGUGGCCCAGGCCCGGCCUUUGGGCUGCUGGGAUGGCCUGGCUGAGGCAGGAACAGACAGGACCUCCCAACCUCCACAUUCCUGAGCUGUGACUCAGGCCUGUGGGGAGAGGGUGAGUCACAGGGAAGGGAAGCCGUCCCACCCUGCGGCCACAUCCGAGGAACAGAAGGGAAACUGAGGCCGAUGGCUUUCCUGUGUAGCAGCCCCUGAAUCUCAGGCAUGGGGGACCUCCCAAGGGACCUGAGAUCCCACCCCUAGGCUCAGGUAAGAGCUAGGGAGAGGGACAGGUUUAACCCUUCCUCCUCUGGGCUGCCCUGGGAGGCACGGCUCCCGCUGACACACAGCACGUGUGCCCACCCCAGGGACAUGAGUCACAGCACCAGGCAUGGACACAUAUGCUCUGUGGGUCCCAGCACAUCCGACUCACGCACACCCAGCCCUGUCCCCUGCUGCACCCACAUCCACAUCCGGAUAAGCGCACGCUUUGGAGUCCAAGCGCCCACCUCCUGUGCACACACAGCGCCUCACAGACGGGUUCCUGUGUCCUUGCACACGCGCGGGUGCCGGGGGCUCCGUGCACACAUCUCCAAGACGCCGUGCGCGCCCCUUUCUGCCCCGCGCACCGAGACAGGCCGGCCUGGGGUCCCUGCAGCACCCACCACGCCGUGUGCACUUGGAGAGCCGCACAUUCGUGUCCACACAAGCUUGUGUCUCCGUCUCUUUACCCACGAGUCCUCUGCCCACGGGCACACACCUGGCAACCCGCACGCCCGGUCUCUGGGUCUCUGCAGCCCCUAUCCUGGCUCUGGGCCCCGCGGACUGGGGCCAGCUGGGCCGGCUGCAGCUUCUGCCAGGACAGUCCCAUUUCCGCGCCCCCGCGGGGCGGCCGCCAGGUGCACGAUCCCGGCCCCCGCCUGGCAGGGAGGGGGCGGUAAUUAUUGCGGCCCCGGGGUCCCCCCCCACGCGCCUUUCAUCCCCGGCCACGCCCGUCCCAGGCCUAGAUGCUCUCUACCGCCUCCCGCCCGGUCAUUAGUCGGGGUCGGGGGAGGACCCACCGUCCGGCGGGCAGGGCCCCGCGGGGAGGGCGGAGCGGCUGGUGCGGUGGCGAGGCGGCCCCGCCCCCGUCUCCAUGGCGACGCCACACCGGGGCGGGGGCCGGGAGGAGUAUCCGGGUGCAGGAGGCGCGCGCCCCCUCCGGGACCGCAGGCGAGAAAGGGGGCGGUGAGUGAAUGGGCCCACGCGGCCCAAGACAGAGGCGCGGGGAGCAGGCCGCCAUGGCAUCAGAUGAAGGCAAGCUUUUCGUUGGAGGGCUGAGUUUUGACACCAAUGAGCAGUCGCUGGAGCAGGUCUUCUCAAAAUACGGACAGAUCUCUGAAGUGGUGGUUGUGAAAGACAGGGAGACCCAG